This 184-nucleotide ribosomal RNA is filed under the name Cladosporium herbarum. Its description in RNAcentral is "5.8S ribosomal RNA". The stretch from base 19 to 172 matches the Rfam family "5.8S ribosomal RNA". From Rfam's summary of the family: 5.8S ribosomal RNA (5.8S rRNA) is a component of the large subunit of the eukaryotic ribosome. It is transcribed by RNA polymerase I as part of the 45S precursor that also contains 18S and 28S rRNA. The record is from RNAcentral. Lineage: Eukaryota; Fungi; Ascomycota; Dothideomycetes; Cladosporiales; Cladosporiaceae. RNAcentral also lists the same sequence under 1 other name.
ACUUAAUUAAUAAAUUAAAACUUUUAACAACGGAUCUCUUGGUUCUGGCAUCGAUGAAGAACGCAGCGAAAUGCGAUAAGUAAUGUGAAUUGCAGAAUUCAGUGAAUCAUCGAAUCUUUGAACGCACAUUGCGCCCCCUGGUAUUCCGGGGGGCAUGCCUGUUCGAGCGUCAUUUCACCACUCA